CGCGGAAUCCUAGAGAUAGGACGUCCCCUUCGGGGGCAGAGUGACAGGUGGUGCAUGGUUGUCGUCAGCUCGUGUCGUGAGAUGUUGGGUUAAGUCCCGCAACGAGCGCAACCCUUGAUCUUAGUUGCCAGCAUUCAGUUGGGCACUCUAAGGUGACUGCCGGUGACAAACCGGAGGAAGGUGGGGAUGACGUCAAAUCAUCAUGCCCCUUAUGACCUGGGCUACACACGUGCUACAAUGGACAGAACAAAGGGCAGCGAAACCGCGAGGUUAAGCCAAUCCCACAAAUCUGUUCUCAGUUCGGAUCGCAGUCUGCAACUCGACUGCGUGAAGCUGGAAUCGCUAGUAAUCGCGGAUCAGCAUGCCGCGGUGAAUACGUUCCCGGGCCUUGUACACACCGCCCGUCACACCACGAGAGUUUGUAACACCCGAAGUCGGUGAGGUAACCUUUUAGGAGCCAGCCGCCGAAGGUGGGACAGAUGAUUGGGGUGAAGUCGUAAAGGGUAAACCCGUA
Molecule: ribosomal RNA, 514 nt
Filed under: bacterium PH-EB006
Lineage: Bacteria
Description: bacterial SSU rRNA
Rfam family: Bacterial small subunit ribosomal RNA
Source: RNAcentral